This 253-nucleotide ribosomal RNA is filed under the name uncultured bacterium. RNAcentral describes it as "partial 16S ribosomal RNA". It matches the Rfam family "Bacterial small subunit ribosomal RNA", at positions 524 to 776 of the family's 1533-position model. The record is from RNAcentral.
UACGGGGGGGGCAAGCGUUGUUCGGAAUUACUGGGCGUAAAGGGCUCGUAGGCGGCCAACUAAGUCGGAUGUGAAAUCCCCAGGCUUAACCUGGGAACUGCAUCCGAUACUGGAUGGCUUGAAUCCGGGAGAGGGAUGCGGAAUUCCAGGUGUAGCGGUGAAAUGCGUAAAUAUCUGGAGGAACACCGGUGGCGAAGGCGGCAUCCUGGACCGGCAUUGACGCUGAGGAGCGAAAGCCAGGGGAGCAAACGGG